This is a non-coding RNA of Ceratotherium simum simum (southern white rhinoceros), 902 nucleotides long. Lineage: Eukaryota; Metazoa; Chordata; Mammalia; Perissodactyla; Rhinocerotidae. The record is from RefSeq and is a predicted model, not a curated record.
GCCUCUUGCCCCUAUGACUUCUCUAUCUCUUCACCCUGUGCCUGCCUCAGUCACCAGUUACUCAGACCAACCUCGUCCUCUUCCUGCCUCGUGUCCAGACCGUCUCCCUCCUCUUACCAGCUUCACCCCUUCCCACCUCCCUGCCUGGGUCAACUCCACCCUUGCCUGUCCUCCUGCUCCUCCGACCACCUGCCUGCCCCCUCUCCCUCUCCCUUCCAUUCGCCGCCCCUUCCGACUUGCUCCGCUCUUCUCCCACGCCCCUCCCUUUUCCCCUGCCCCCUCUCCUCACUCUGCUUCUUCCCCUACCUGCAUGGGCCUUGGGCCCAGAUAGGCCUCCCCUGCUCCUGCGAGGACAUCUGCCCCAACCAGCCCUCACCAGGCCCAAUGAUUCCCACACUCCAUCAUGGAGGCCUUGUGUCCCCAUUCCAGAACUCCCGGGCAUGCAGUACCCAGCAUCCUGGUGACCUGCAGACAUGGGGGACACUGGAUGACAACCAGCAGGCAUACGACCUGGAGGGGCACCUCCCUCAGAAUUAAGAACCGUCUACAGAAAGCAACACACGAGACCAUUUUCAAACUGAUUUUAAUCAUUUUUUGCUGCUCAAAUACUGUACAUGCAGAAGCCAUGUGAAGAAUUUUCUCGUCAAGGGAAUUGGCAAGAACGUAGGAAACAGCCGGCAGUGCUUCUCAGCUGUCCACCUGCCACCCAGGAGCAACAAUGUUUGGAAAGAUGCUGCACAUAGAAAAUGUAUAGAGCACAGAUAUAAAAGGCUAAUUGCUUCUCAUCUAAACAGUGUGCUUGUCAGUCCCUAUCAGCUAUCUCUUUCUUUGCAGGAUGUAUUUGGAAAUUCUAAAAAAGGGGUUCCUGCCUCCUGUGAAUUUGCAUUCUAAAGGAGUGGAUA